GGUACCCCAAACCGACACAGGUGGACUGGCAGAGUAUGCUAAGGCGCUUGAGAGAACUGUAUUGAAGGAACUAGGCAAAUUGCCCUCGUAACUUCGGAAGAAGAGGGCCCGGUCUCUACGCAAGUAUUGGCCGGGGGCACAUAGCAGGGGGUGGCGACUGUUUACUAAAAACACAGGGCGCUGCGAAAUCCAAAGAUGACGUAUAGCGUCUGACGCCUGCCCGGUGCUGGAAGGUUAAGAGGAGAUGUGAAAGCGUUGAAUCGAAGCCCCAGUAAACGGCGGCCGUAACAAUAACGGUCCUAAGGUAGCGAAAUUCCUUGUCGGGUAAGUUCCGACCUGCACGAAAGGCGUAACGACUUCCCCACUGUCUCCAAUACAGGCUCAGCGAAAUUGAAUUCCCCGUGAAGAUGCGGGGUUCCCGCGGUCAGACGGAAAGACCCCGUGCACCUUUACUGCAACUUUACACUGGCAUUAGGAAUGGGAUGUGUAGGAUAGGUGGUAGGCAUUGAAGCAGAGGCGCUAGCCUUUGUGGAGCCGUCCUUGAAAUACCACCCUUCUUGUUCCUGAUGUCUAACCGCGACCCGUCACCGGGUCCGAGACAGUGUAUGGUAGGCAGUUUGACUGGGGCGGUCGCCUCCCAAAGAGUAACGGAGGCGCGCGAUGGUAGGCUCAAUCCGGUCGGAAAUCGGAUGUUGAGUGCAAUGGCAAAAGCCUGCCUGACUGCAAGGUCGACGGACCAAGCAGAGACGAAAGUCGGUCAUAGUGAUCCGGUGAUCCCGAGUGGAAGGGUCAUCGCUCAACGGAUAAAAGGUACGCCGGGGAUAACAGGCUGAUCGCACCCAAGCGUCCAUAGCGACGGUGCGGUUUGGCACCUCGAUGUCGGCUCAUCACAUCCUGGGGCUGUAGCCGGUCCCAAGGGUAUGGCUGUUCGCCAUUUAAAGUGGUACGUGAGCUGGGUUUAGAACGUCGUGAGACAGUUCGGUCCCUAUCUGCCGUGGGUGUUCGAAACUUGAGAGGACUUUUUCCUAGUACGAGAGGACCGGAAAGAACGUAUCUCUGGUGGAUCGGUUGUCACGCCAGUGGCAUAGCCGAGUAGCUAAAUACGGACAAGAUAACCGCUGAAAGCAUCUAAGCGGGAAACUUACCUCAAAACCAGGUUUCGCUUGAGAGCCGGGGAAGACUACCCCGUCGAUAGGCCAGGUGUGUAAGCGCGGCAACGCGUUGAGCUUACUGGUACUAAUCGCUCU
This 1247-nucleotide ribosomal RNA is filed under the name metagenome. RNAcentral's name for it is "bacterial LSU rRNA". It matches the Rfam family "Bacterial large subunit ribosomal RNA", at positions 1643 to 2911 of the family's 2925-position model. The record is from RNAcentral.